GCAGGUAUAGCUCAGUGGUAGAGUGUAUGCUUAGCACGCAUGAGGUCCUGGGUUCAAUCCCCAGUAUCUCCG
This 72-nucleotide transfer RNA is filed under the name Camelus bactrianus (Bactrian camel). It matches the Rfam family "tRNA". Rfam says of the family: Transfer RNA (tRNA) molecules are approximately 80 nucleotides in length. Their secondary structure includes four short double-helical elements and three loops (D, anti-codon, and T loops). RNAcentral also lists the same sequence under 1 other name. Lineage: Eukaryota; Metazoa; Chordata; Mammalia; Artiodactyla; Camelidae. The record is from Rfam by way of RNAcentral.